Molecule: ribosomal RNA, 272 nt
Filed under: uncultured archaeon
Lineage: Archaea
Description: partial 16S rRNA
Rfam family: Archaeal small subunit ribosomal RNA
Source: RNAcentral
GAGACCCACGCCAACAGUUGCCAGCAUGUCCUCCGGGAUGGUGGGGACACUGUUGGGACCGCCUCUGCUAAAGAGGAGGAAGGAAUGGGCAACGGUAGGUCAGCAUGCCCCGAAUUAUCCGGGCUACACGCGGGCUACAAUGGUCAGGACAAUGGGUAUCGACACCGAGAGGUGAAGGCAAUCUCUUAAACCUGUCCUUAGUUCGGAUUGCGGGCUGCAACUCGCCCACAUGAAGCUGGAAUCCGUAGUAAUCGCGUCACAAAAUGGCGCGG